Molecule: ribosomal RNA, 253 nt
Filed under: uncultured bacterium
Lineage: Bacteria
Description: partial 16S ribosomal RNA
Rfam family: Bacterial small subunit ribosomal RNA
Source: RNAcentral
UACGAAGGGGGCUAGCGUUGCUCGGAAUCACUGGGCGUAAAGCGCACGUAGGCGGAUUGUUAAGUCAGGGGUGAAAUCCUGGAGCUCAACUCCAGAACUGCCUUUGAUACUGGCGAUCUCGAGUCCGGGAGAGGUGAGUGGAACUGCGAGUGUAGAGAUGAAAUUCGUAGAUAUUCGCAAGAACACCAGUGGCGAAGGCGGCUCACUGGCCCGGUACUGACGCUGAGGUGCGAAAGCGUGGGGAGCAAACAGG